Folsomia candida is the source of this 1604-nucleotide long non-coding RNA. RefSeq lists it as uncharacterized. The record is from RefSeq and is a predicted model, not a curated record. The transcript has 7 exons. Lineage: Eukaryota; Metazoa; Arthropoda; Collembola; Entomobryomorpha; Isotomidae.
CACAGGGCGUAAGGAUCACGUCUCCUUCUUUGGUUCGUGUUGAUCUUUGUUCUUGGAGGAUUGGAUUUGGCGCAAGGCAACGAGAUAGCCCUUAACAGCACUGUCAACGUCUGGUCCAAAACCGUUAUUGACUUGAUUUUCUUCGCCAAAGCGAAUUUUGUCCUUCCGGUGCUAUUCAUCACUGUUUAGUGGCCCACCGUUUGAUCCCAGAUAGGAUGAAAAAGAAUGACGCAAAACUGAUAAACGACACUAAAAGAUCUGCCAAACUACACGUAAAUUUAAGGAAUAAUAAUGUUCACACAUAGUUCUAUUUUAGCAAGCCCUGUCUAAUUUUAAGUCAUACAUACGGGCACGAUUCGCGAGAGACCAGUCGUACCGGGACGUUUUACUCAAAACUACAGUCCUUGUGAAAGCUGUGACUGAACUAACAGACAAUUUCACUCUUGCGGGAAACGGAGAUGAGCUGAAACGUACGAAAGUAGCUGCGCGGAUGUUCCAGUCUGAGUACAAGGACUAUUUACACAAGAUUCCACUCGAUGAUCUGUUUAAGAGUCUCAACUCUAAGCAAACUACGGGUUUGACUCAAGCCGCGGCGAUAAUCGUGACGGUCCUAAAGAAGUAACACCGCCCCCAGCGUGGGCAAGAAUAAUUCCCAAGAUAUUCUGUGUGUCCACUAUUCAACUCUUGGUACGCUAAUUUCGGAAGUUUUUUAUGGAAUUUUGAUGAAUGAGCAAAGAAAUACCGUCCCGUUGAAUUCUGAUUUUGCAAUAUCCUCGAUCUUGAAUAUUAUCCCUUUCAUGAUGCACUAAUUUACAUUUUACGUCACAUCCAGAAAUUUACAAUAGUUCCUUAAAUUUUCCUUAUGUAUGUAUAAGUAAUGCAGGGUGCAUUAAAAAGUGUGACUUUAAAAGGCUAACUGAACCAAAAUUAUCAAAACUAGUAGGAUCAAGCGAGCUCCUCUCUUGUUCCAAAUUAAUUAAAUUAAUCUAAUUCCAUCAUCCAUCACACAAGAUCUCAGUGAUCGACGCACAACUACACCGUGCUUUCAUAAUCUCUGACGCCAAAUAUCUUGAAGAAGUACAGCAUGUCACAACCCACCUCCUGAGCAACAACUACCCAAACUCCCUCAUAAAAUCCCGAAUUAAACGGAUACGAUCCCGAAUUAGAGACGAAAAUGAACAAAACGAUAAACCACGCAUGAUUCUACCAUAUAUGGGUCCUGUUACUCAUCACCUGACAAGUUAUAUCAGGAGAAAAUUAGAUUGUGACUUUAGCUAUAUUCCAGGGACAAAAAUAUGAAACCAAAUAUGCUCACACAAACAGAACGAACCUCCCUCCAAAAUUGGAAUUUAUCAAAUCCCAUGCGACUGCAGUUCAACAUACAUUGGAGAAACAUCCCGUCCUAUGGAAGAAAGGAUUAAAGAACAUGAACGAGAUCUAGCAAAGAAAAACACUAAAUCUGCAAUUGCAACCCACAUAGUAGAGAAUCCUGGUCACAGGAUUCAAAUCGAGUCAGCAACUCUGAUUCAUCGGGAGGAGCGAUAUUUCCACCGGAGAUUUAAAGAGGGAUUGCUGAUCAGAAACACCAGAAAUAAAUUAAAUCG